UACGGUGGGGACUAGCGUUGUUCGGAAUUACUGGGCGUAAAGCGCACGUAGGCGGAUUUGUAAGUCAGGGGUGAAAUCCCGAGGCUCAACCUCGGAACUGCCUUUGAUACUGCGAAUCUCGAGUCCGGAAGAGGUGAGUGGAAUUCCUAGUGUAGAGGUGAAAUUCGUAGAUAUUAGGAAGAACACCAGUGGCGCAGGCGGCUCACUGGUCCGGUACUGACGCUGAGGUGCGAAAGCGUGGGGAGCAAACAGG
Molecule: ribosomal RNA, 253 nt
Filed under: uncultured bacterium
Lineage: Bacteria
Description: partial 16S ribosomal RNA
Rfam family: Bacterial small subunit ribosomal RNA
Source: RNAcentral